GUCUCUGGUCAUACUAUCCUGAAUGCUCCUGAUCUUGUCUGAUCUCAGAAGCUAAGCAGGGUUGGGCCUGGUUAGUACUCAGAUGGGAAACUGUACAUAAAACCUAAAAAUCUGUGUUU
This 119-nucleotide ribosomal RNA is filed under the name Octodon degus (degu). Lineage: Eukaryota; Metazoa; Chordata; Mammalia; Rodentia; Octodontidae. The record is from RNAcentral.